ACGGUUGAGGCCAUGAACUCGGU
Molecule: non-coding RNA, 23 nt
Filed under: Arabidopsis thaliana (thale cress)
Lineage: Eukaryota; Viridiplantae; Streptophyta; Magnoliopsida; Brassicales; Brassicaceae
Source: RNAcentral